Non-coding RNA from Equus caballus (horse), 860 nucleotides. NCBI's taxonomy places the organism in Eukaryota, Metazoa, Chordata, Mammalia, Perissodactyla, Equidae. The record is from the annotation of a RefSeq genome assembly.
CAAGGUCUGGCAACAACACAGUGGUAGCUGCACUCCUUGUAGGUCUUUACUAGUAACUGUUUCUUCUGUUCUCUGGAACCUCUUUAAGCCUAGGAUCAGACACAAAGACUGAGCUCCGGGCCCAUUAUCCCAGUUUGUCCUUGAAGUAUGAGGCUGGUGACUGGAAUAACUGUGUUUCUGAUUUUGGGGACUGUGAUUGAUGCUAAGACCACCCAGCCCAAUUCCAUGGAUUGUACUGAAGGAGAAGAUGCAAACCUGCCUUGUAACCACUCUAGCAUCGGUAUAGCUGAUUAUAUACACUGGUAUCGGCAAAAUCCCAGUCAGAGUCCGCAGUAUAUAAUUAAUGGCUUACAAGGCAAUGUGACCAACAACAUGGCCUCUCUGACCAUCGCAACAGACAGAAAGUCCAGCACUUUGAUCCUGCCCCGGGUCACCUUGAGAGAGACUGCUGUGUACUACUGCAUGCUGAGAGAGGCACAUUGAGACAGAUGGGGCUGCACCUGUGCAAAAUCUCUCUGGAGGCAAGAGGGGAGGGUGGGAGGUAGGAGCCAUCAAGAGCAAAUCUGGAACCAUUUAGAAGGAGAGUCAGAGAGCAAUAAGAAAGGAGGAAAAUGAAAGGAAGGAAAAAGGGAGAAGAUCGAUAAGGAAAAGGAGAAAGACAAGAUGAAGGGCGAGAGGACAGAGAAUAAAGACUUCAUUUGUUGAUGUGGCUGAGAAGAAUUAUGAGGAGACUAAGAAUCAUAAUUAACAUAGCAAUCAAGUGAAAAGGUAAUAAUAAUCUGUCGUGGCUCCUCCUCAUGUCAAUAAAAUGUUAGUUUCAAUGUGUUCAUCUCAGUAUAAAAGACGAGGAAAAUAAAGAU